GUCUUUUUGAGUUAUUUUUAAAGUCUGACCUGCCCACUGAAUUUUUAAAUGGCCGCAGUAUUCUAACUGUGCAAAGGUAGCAUAAUCAUUAGUCUUUUAAUUGAAGGCUGGUAUGAAUGGUUGGACGAGGUAUAAGCUGUUUCAUAUAAAAUUAUAGUAGAAUUUUAUAUUUUAGUUAAAAAGCUAAAAUGAGGUUAAAAGACGAGAAGACCCUAUAAAUCUUUAUAUUUUAUAUACUUUAGAUUUUUUUGGUUUGUUUUAUUUUUAUUAUAUUGAAUAUUUUGUUGGGGUGAUGUUAAAAUUUGAUGAACUUUUAAUUUUUUAAGUCAUUAAUUUAUGAGUUAUUGAUCCGUUAUUAACGAUUAUAAGAUUAAGUUACUUUAGGGAUAACAGCGUAAUUUUUUUGGAGAGUUCAUAUCGAUAAAAAAGUUUGCGACCUCGAUGUUGGAUUAAGAUAUAAUUUUAGGUGUAGCUGCUUAAAUGUUAAGUCUGUUCGACUUUUAAAUUCUU
RNAcentral lists this ribosomal RNA (510 nucleotides) under Dacus flavicrus. Its description in RNAcentral is "partial 16S ribosomal RNA". It matches the Rfam family "Bacterial large subunit ribosomal RNA", at positions 1829 to 2597 of the family's 2925-position model. Lineage: Eukaryota; Metazoa; Arthropoda; Insecta; Diptera; Tephritidae. The record is from RNAcentral.